This is a long non-coding RNA of Pogoniulus pusillus (Red-fronted tinkerbird), 1435 nucleotides long. RefSeq lists it as uncharacterized. The record is from RefSeq and is a predicted model, not a curated record. The transcript is spliced from 2 exons. Lineage: Eukaryota; Metazoa; Chordata; Aves; Piciformes; Lybiidae.
CCAGAAAGGCAGAAGCCCUACGCUGUGCCCGACUGGGUAGAGGGAUCUUUCUUCUGUCAUCACUGUGCUGUAGCACAGACCUGUGCUGUGGUUCCUGCUGAGCUGAGCACCCAGGCUGGGUUUUUUCCAACAUCUGCCUGCCCCAAGAUGCUAAGAGGACACAGCCAAAUUGGCUGAUCCAGACUGGCCAAAGGGAUAUUCCAUGCCCUGUGACAUCAGUUCAUAUACAAGAAUGAAAUGAAAGAAGGAAGGUGGGGAAGACAGGUCCAUGGUGUCUGCUCUCCCAAAGCAACGACGAAGCAUGGAGAGUCCUGCUUCCUGAGACCAAACAUCAUUCUGCUGAUGGGAAGUAGAGAUUAACAUCUCUCUCUCUGCUUCUGUUGCUUUGCUUGUUGUCAUUAUUAAAUUGCUUCUAUUUUGAUAGCUGGCUUUUGUUAUAUUUUCCCCUCUCCCCUGUCUAUUUAAGAGGGGGAGUGAUAGAGCAGAUUUGGUGGGCAUUUGGCCCCCAACUGGGGCAAAACCACCACAAAUGUCUCAGGAUAGCAUUUCCUCAAAUCUUUGAGAACCCUGCCUUGUGGUCAAGGGAGAAGAAAAAACAGUAAAUGUAUUUACAUAUACAUUCUGGCCAAAGAAAUGCACAAUUCUGAUGAAAUCAACUCAGUCUACAAUGAUAGAGAGGUUUUUGCUAAUUCCCCAGUUAUAAAAACACAUGAACUUCACUGGCCAAAGCUACCCACUCCACCAAUAACGAUAAAACCCCAGAACAUUUACAAACCAUUACAUUAAAAAAACAUUCUCAGUCUUCAAAUCUGCUCUUCAUUACCUCCUGCCCCUGUGCCAAAUGCAAAUAUGCACAAUGUUCACUGGCUGGUUGCCAAUAUCCCAAACAGCUACCCACUUGUAAAAUCAUGUGUGGCAUUUUGAAACGCAGCCUUGUCUCACCAUUCUGCUUCUAGGAAUCUGUCCAAUAAAAUAUGUAUUAAAAAAGAAAAUAUUGUAUAUUGUGUUCACAACACAGCACUCUUCAGAACAGUGAAGGGAGUAUAAAUGGAGGAAGUGUGAAAAAAUAAGCUGCUGUGUUGUUCAUAAAGCUGGUGGCACAUUCCAAUCAAGGGAGAAACAAGCAGCACCUUAUUUCAUGAGCUUUGUUUGAAAUGACUCCCUCGGUUAACAGUGCAUUUUUACAUCCUGAUUUGCACACAUAUUGCUCCCCUAUCUUUAUUAAAUACUUCAUAUAAGCACUUAAGGAUAAAAAUUACCUUUAUUACAAGGGUAUAUGGGCUUGGCCUUAGUUAAUACUUACUUCAAACAGUGUGCUGAUUAAUAGGAACAGAAGGAAUUGGCUCUUGCAUUUUGAAGAGCUUUAUUUUUGAGGAGGGGAAAAAAAAAGUCUAUAUACUAAUAUUUCUGAUACUCUUGACUGGUUUCUCAGUUU